Molecule: small nucleolar RNA, 71 nt
Organism: Hyla sarda
Lineage: Eukaryota; Metazoa; Chordata; Amphibia; Anura; Hylidae
Source: RefSeq, a predicted model, not a curated record
GAAGCCUGUGAUGAUCCUAUUACCGCCCCAGUCUGAUAUUCCGUGACUGACUGGUACCAUACUGAGUCUUC